CCUACGGGGGGCAGCAGUCGAGAAUCUUCGGCAAUGGGCGCAAGCCUGACCGAGCGACGCCGCGUGCGGGAUGAAGGUCUUCGGAUUGUAAACCGCUGUCGGAGGGGAUGAAAUGCAUGGGGGUACUCCCCUGUGUUUGACAGAGCCUCGGAGGAAGCACGGGCUAAGUUCGUGCCAGCAGCCGCGGUAAUACGAACUGUGCGAACGUUAUUCGGAAUCACUGGGCUUGGCGGCUGCGUAGGCGGCGUGUGAAGUCCCCCGGCGCAACCGGGGAACUGCGCUUGAAACUGGGGUGCGCGAGUGAGGUAGGGGUGUAUGGAACUUCCGGUGGAGCGGUGAAAUGUGUAGAUAUCGGAAGGAACGCCGGCGGCGAAAGCGGUACACUGGGCCUUGUCUGACGCUGAGGCACGAAAGCUAGGGGAGUGAACGGGAUUAGAUACCCCUGUAGUC
Molecule: ribosomal RNA, 450 nt
Filed under: uncultured bacterium
Lineage: Bacteria
Description: partial 16S ribosomal RNA
Rfam family: Bacterial small subunit ribosomal RNA
Source: RNAcentral